RNAcentral lists this ribosomal RNA (563 nucleotides) under Escherichia coli. Its description in RNAcentral is "bacterial LSU rRNA". It matches the Rfam family "Bacterial large subunit ribosomal RNA", at positions 1 to 594 of the family's 2925-position model. Lineage: Bacteria; Pseudomonadati; Pseudomonadota; Gammaproteobacteria; Enterobacterales; Enterobacteriaceae. The record is from RNAcentral.
GGGUUGUGAGGUUAAGCGACUAAGCGUACACGGUGGAUGCCCUGGCAGUCAGAGGCGAUGAAGGACGUGCUAAUCUGCGAUAAGCGUCGGUAAGGUGAUAUGAACCGUUAUAACCGGCGAUUUCCGAAUGGGGAAACCCAGUGUGUUUCGACACACUAUCAUUAACUGAAUCCAUAGGUUAAUGAGGCGAACCGGGGGAACUGAAACAUCUAAGUACCCCGAGGAAAAGAAAUCAACCGAGAUUCCCCCAGUAGCGGCGAGCGAACGGGGAGGAGCCCAGAGCCUGAAUCAGUGUGUGUGUUAGUGGAAGCGUCUGGAAAGGCGCGCGAUACAGGGUGACAGCCCCGUACACAAAAAUGCACAUACUGUGAGCUCGAUGAGUAGGGCGGGACACGUGGUAUCCUGUCUGAAUAUGGGGGGACCAUCCUCCAAGGCUAAAUACUCCUGACUGACCGAUAGUGAACCAGUACCGUGAGGGAAAGGCGAAAAGAACCCCGGCGAGGGGAGUGAAAAAGAACCUGAAACCGUGUACGUACAAGCAGUGGGAGCCUCUUUUAUGGGGU